This is a long non-coding RNA of Silurus meridionalis, 409 nucleotides long. RefSeq lists it as uncharacterized. The transcript is spliced from 2 exons. Lineage: Eukaryota; Metazoa; Chordata; Actinopteri; Siluriformes; Siluridae. The record is from RefSeq and is a predicted model, not a curated record.
AUCAAGGAUCGGCUCUGAGCCAUUUCCUGUUUGCAGUGGUGAUGGACAGGUUGACGGACGAGUUCAUUGAGAUGUGUUACCCGACUCGGCCACCAGAGAGCAGUAUAAACCUAAAUUAAAAUAUAAAGACUAGGAAUAUUUGACAUUUACAGCAAUAAGCACCACAGACCUCCUCAAAUCACCUUCAUCAGUACCUGACUUUACUAACCCCCUUGUGACUGAAUGAAUCUCACACAAAUCUCCACAAUGUUCCCAGAAUUUUGAAAGUUAUUAUUGAUAGCAAACGGGGACUAAAUGUUGAAUGUGAUGCUUAAAAAAAAUGCACAUAUGUCAUAUAUCUUAUCAGUUUUCAUUAUGCAAAUGGGCCGUAUUGUACUCCUGUAUAAAUAAAAUCAAAUGCAACAUUCAA